Molecule: unclassified non-coding RNA, 337 nt
Filed under: soil metagenome
Description: partial contains 5.8S ribosomal RNA, internal transcribed spacer 2, and large subunit ribosomal RNA
Rfam family: 5.8S ribosomal RNA (bases 1-120)
Source: RNAcentral
GAUGAAGAACGCAGCGAAAUGCGAUAAGUAGUGUGAAUUGCAGAAUUCAGUGAAUCAUCGAAUCUUUGAACGCACAUUGCGCCCCAUGGUAUUCCGUGGGGCAUGCCUGUUCGAGCGUCAUUUACCCCCUCAAGCUCCGCUUGGUGUUGGGCGUCUGUCCCGCUUCGCGCGCGGACUCGCCCCAAAGGUAUUGGCAGCUGUCGUGCCAGCUUCUCGCGCAGCACAUUGCGCUUCUCGAGGCACCGGUGGGCCCGCGUCCAUCAAGCUCACCCCCCCAGUUUGACCUCGGAUCAGGUAGGGAUACCCGCUGAACUUAAGCAUAUCAAUAAGCGGAGGA